Molecule: long non-coding RNA, 2525 nt
Filed under: Homo sapiens (human)
Lineage: Eukaryota; Metazoa; Chordata; Mammalia; Primates; Hominidae
Description: non-protein coding lnc-SON-2:3
Source: RNAcentral
GUGGCAGGUCUGGUGUUUGGAUCCAUGAAGUCUGUUUCCUGAGUCUGCACUGUUCACAGUAUGCGAUCUAUGUAAUACCGCUCCUUAUGUACAUUGUAUAAUAAUAGCUCCCUGGGAAUGUAUGUGUGAAGUUCCCAUUUGGAAGGCUGGCAUCGUAGUACUGCACUGAUGGACCUCAGAGAGAAGAAUGCCUUUCCUUUUCUCUAGGUAUGUUUCUGUUUGUUUUCAGCGUAGGUAUUCCUAAAAGUAUGAGGUUAUCAUCAUGGGCUCUGAAUCCAGACUCUCUCUUCCAUUGUUUAAUAACUGUAUAAACUGUGUUUUAGUCUCUGGAAGAGGGAAUACUAAUAAUAUUUAGUCCAUAGCUUUGUUAAUAGGAUUAAAUUGGCUAAUAUAGGUCAGGUGUACUUGCAAGCACUUAAACUUUCCAUUCGUUAUUAUAAGCUAUUACUAUUAAGGAUCAUGCCAGUAAAUCCUCACCAAAAUUGACUUCAUUAUUUUGGCAUAAUGUUAUUGUAGACUAUUAUCUUUGAUUCCGGGAGUAAGGCUAAGUUGUCAUUUGAAUGAGAUAAGGACCUCGAAAUCAGUUGUAAAGACAAUCUUGGCCGGGCGCGGUGGCUCACACCUGUAAUCCCAGCACUUUGGGAGGCCAGGGUGGGCAGAUCACGAGGUCAGGAGAUUGAGACCAUCCUGGCUAACAUGGAGAAACCCAUCUCUACUAAAAAAAAAAAAAAAAAAAAAAAAUACAAACAAAAACAUUAGCCAGGCGUGGUGGCAGGUGCCUGUAGUCCCAGCUACUUGGGAGGCUGAGGCCGGAGAAUGGCGUGAACCUGGGAGGCAGAGGUUGCAGUGAGCCGAGAUCGGGCCACUGCACUCCAGCCUGGGCAACAGAGCAAGACUCCGUCUCAAAAAAAAAAAAAAAAAAAGACAAAAUGUUUUAAUGAGGAGAUAAAAAUCACUGAACCAGCCUGUUGUUUUUAUAUUGGAUCAGUAUAGCUUUGUACCGUACCUGGAAAUAAAAAUAAAAAUUUUUCCUGAGUAAAUUAAUAAGAUGUAGGAAAGAUAUUAAGGUUUAUUUUUAAGUAAGCUCUAAAUAGAAAUGAUAAUCUGAUUAUAAAAAGAAGAAUAUGAAAAAUAUUUAAUAUGCUAGUGCUCUGACUCAAAAAUUAAAACCUACAUUUUUUCUUUAUUAUUUGUUUUUUGAGACAGAGUCUCGCUCUAUCACCCAGGCUGGAGUGCAGUGGCACGAUCUCAGCUCACUGCAAGCUCUGCCUCCUGGGUUCACACCAUUCUCCUGCCUCAGCUUCCCGAGUAGCUGCGACUACAGGUGCCUGCCACCACACCCGGCUAAUUUUUUUUUUUGUAUUUUUAGUAGAGACAGGGUUUCACUGUGUUAGCCAGGAUAGUCUUGAUCUCCUGACCUCAUGAUCCGCCCGCCUCAGCCUCCCAAAGUGCUGGGAUUACAGGCGUGAGCCACUGCACCUGGCUAAAACCUACAUUUUUUUCAAUUCUCUUUUUAACAUUUGAAAAUUUUGCUUAAUCUAAAAUAUACUCCAGAAGUUUAAAUGGAAAGACCUUAAUAAAAUAUUCAGUCAAAUGCUCUUCCUUUAGAAAUGGAGGUACUGAAGUUCAUUUCUCCUAUCAUUCUAAAUUGAUGUUUCAUUUUGACUAUAUAUUUAGUGAGUUAUGGCAGUAAAAGCAGCUUUAAUUUUUUUUCUGAAAGCCUACUCAUAUUGGAGCCCUUUAUAACUUGCCUCUUGAAGUAUAUAUAUUUAUUCAUACAAAUCAAACACUGAUGUCUGUGAAGUUUCAUAUCAUCUUUUAUAUUUGAAUUUUGUUCAUAUACUUAUUGUCACCCAGGCUGGAAGUACAGUGGUGUAAUCUCAGCUCACUGCAACCUCUGCCUCCUGGGUUCAAGUGAUUCUCCUGCCUCAGCCUCCCGAGUAGCUGGGAUUACAGGCAUGUGCCACCAUGCUGGCUAAUUUUUCUAUUUUUAGUAGAGAUGGGGUUUCGCCAUGUUGGCCAGGCUGGUCUGGAACUCCUGACCUCAAGUGAUCUGCCCACCUCAGCCUCCCAAAGUGCUGGGAUUACAGGCAUGAGCCACCAAGUUUUUAAUUGAUGGCAUUUUAAAGAAUACCUCAUAUUUUAUACUUUCCAGACAUUUUCCCCACUUAUAUGAAAUUUAAAAUGAGAGUAUAGCUGUUAUUUGUUACUUGGUCAUAAAGGUAUUUGGAAAAGCACUGAUCUUAGAAUUUUAAUAAAAGGCAUUUAUUACCAAAAAAAAAAAAACACUGGAUAUAUUGACCUUAAAAUGAGUAAUUAGUAUUUUCCAGUAAAGCAUUUUGGAUUCAACAUAGACUAUGCUUCACCCUACCUCACUUCUAUUAGAAAACCUUUUUUAAAAAGAAAUUUUCUUUUUGUCAGCUUUAGUAAAUAAUGUCAUUCAGGAUUCCUAUUCACAAUCUGAGAUCUGCCACUUAACUUGCUCAGAAGCCUUACAGUCCACACCAUUUGUUCUAUCCUUUCAA